UUUUAUGAUUCCAGGUUCUGAAAGAGUGUCAGCUACUGGCAAAUCCAUACAGCUGACAAGAUGCAGGUCAACCUUCUGUCUCAGGACAACUGAUACCCCCUCUCCUGGAAACGGAAGACCCGGCCCACUUGACCACCCUUCUUCAAAUAGCACCACCCUCAACCGCACCCAAGCAAGACAGGCUGGCUCUCCAAAUCCAGCCAGGGGUCAGCCAUCCUAGUGUUCAGGAGUCAGAAGCCCAGGAGGAAAUAGCCCCAGGAGAUAUUAAAUACCGCCUGGAGCCCCUUCCCAAGGCUCCACUCCAGACGCAACCCCCAAGCUACUCCAACCAGCACAGCAAGCCUCAGUGGCUCCCCUUCAGUACAACCUAUGGAGAAUGUUAUAAGCCCAGGAGGAUACAGCCUGUGACUUACCAUGGGGAGAAACCCUCCCAUUCAGGUGACGACUAUAUGACCACUACUCAUCAGAUUUCCUUGCAGAGCCCUCUUCUUGGUCAGUCCACGUUCCCAGUUCAUAUUCAGGGCAGAAAAAUAGGACGAAUAGUGCGUCCAGGCCACAUGGAGUACACCAGCCAAUACCAGAGUGACUUCCAAGCCUCAGGGUGGAAUCAAGUCCUCAAAACUGACCCACACAAAAGAAGCCAGGGGAUCAAUGGAAAGGAUAACCUUCACUGGGAAGUGAACAGGGAUGUGAGCCUAGCAACAAAUAUACCCAGACUGUGCAGAAAGACAAUGCCUCUGGCUGGCAGCCCACUAUGCAUCAGCAUCCAAAGCCGAGAUGGGUGAAGCAGGAGAUGACCAUCCUGGGUAGGAAGAGCACUGUCAAGUUUGACGGAGGCACAGUGACCAGGGUAAAGUGCCCAAGCUCUCUGUCUAGAGGUAAUCAGCAUGAGGGUCCUAACUACUCCCUCAAGCCAAGGAGGGGAAUGGGGGUAGACAGGGAACAAAGGAAAACAUUUACCCCAGGACACCCCAACCCCACUUGUCUUGAGAAAUCCAGAAAUUUUCCUUUCCUGAAUCUACAGCCACUUAUGGACUCUGAUAUUUGUCCCUGACCACAGAGGUGAGGUACGUAUGCUCUUAACAUAUGCUGGCCACGUGGUAAGUACUUAACAAAAGAUAGCAAUUAAAAUCAUCAUUAUUAUUAUUUCCCCAGACAUGCAUUCCUCUCUUCCCAGAUGUCUUAUCUACCUCCUCCCAAAUCCCUGGUAAAAAGAGUCAAGGGUAAGUGCCCCUCUAGCACAUUCAGGGUCUUCAAAGCCAAGUUACAAACUGAAACUACCAGCAAGCAAUUCUUCCAGGACUGUAGAACUCAGCCCCAAGUAUGCUACGGAGACCUUCAUCACAGAGGCUAUGAGAAGCCCCUGAGUGUGGGUUUGCAGGCACCACCUCAGGAUCAAACUACCACCAGGACCUCCUACAUGCCCUUGUUUUCUGAAAGGUUGAACCUCUGUAAGCCCAAGGUCAACAGCAGCAAAUGGGAGCCAAACACAAUUUCUCUACUGAGCAAAGGAAAACAUUCAGACCAGUCCAGCUGCCUGAAAGCCGGCUCCAGAAGUACUUUUGACAAGAGGACUCAAAAUCCCCCAAAAAUAAUAAUAAUUGGGAGAAAGAAACCGCCCAAAUAACCUAUGCAAAAAUGCACAGUUGGGCACUCAUAUCGAACCUUAAAACUGAGGUCCCACCAUAACUACCUCAUAGCACAGACUCAGUUUUCCCGCUGGGAUUUCCCAGUCACACCCUGACCCUAAUACAACUCUUUGAAACUAA
Leopardus geoffroyi (Geoffroy's cat) is the source of this 1769-nucleotide RNA transcript. RefSeq lists it as uncharacterized. NCBI's taxonomy places the organism in Eukaryota, Metazoa, Chordata, Mammalia, Carnivora, Felidae. The record is from RefSeq and is a predicted model, not a curated record. The transcript is spliced from 8 exons.